Long non-coding RNA from Girardinichthys multiradiatus, 1392 nucleotides. RefSeq lists it as uncharacterized. The record is from RefSeq and is a predicted model, not a curated record. NCBI's taxonomy places the organism in Eukaryota, Metazoa, Chordata, Actinopteri, Cyprinodontiformes, Goodeidae. The transcript is spliced from 3 exons.
CGGGGCCCAGCGGUGCGUGUGGGGUUCCAGUCUGCGCAGCCUCCAGAACGUCUGGAGAACAAAAAUCCUGCAAAGUGAAUUCUGUGCUGGUAGCCGCCAAAUUGACUGAGGGGCUCUGGGAGGUGGAUCAACGUGUUCUGACAGACAGUGUGAACGAACACACAGGAUGAAAAGCAUUGGUCGGCUCCCAAGUCCUGCCAGCUCCAGUCAAGCAAGCUCUCAGCAUCAGACUCACCUGCAAUCUUUCCACGGUUGUUCUCAGCAGCCACCUGCCUGCCUGCUCUCCAACCAAACGCCUCUCAGCCCCAGAGAUCCUUCUGCCUCUUCCAUAUUGGACACCACCCUUCCACUCGGACUCCAACUAACCAUUUAUCACUCUUAGAGGUCACCCCAGGACAUCGACGCCCCUCCCAAAAUUAAACCUCAGCGUCUCUACAGUAUAGGGCCAGGAAUGAGUGGCAGACAUUCAAAUCAGGUACAAUGAAGGACACAAAAAAGAAAUCAUAUGGAUAUAAAUAAAAGGUACAGAGGCACAACAUAAUGACCAGCAUCGACACAUACAUCGAUGACUAUCUCAUCUUACGCUUUGUUUAUGCAUCCAACCCAUCAACUGUGAGGAGCAUUUGGGGACAAGAAGAUUUCCUUGAAGCUUCAGAUAUCCUUCCCUCUAACAGAUGCCAUAAUAAAAAGAAUAUCAGCGUUGGUCACUUUAAUCUGUCAGUGAUCAUAAUGUUAUACCUAAUUGGUGUACAGAAAGGCUGUCAUUUUAAUUCCCGCAUAAAUUUUGUCCAUUAGGAUCAUGACGGAGAACAGAGUUCACAGGGGUGGGCCAUCCUUGGUUGCGCCACUGGUUCAGUAAUUUAAAAAAAAUCCAGCCUGCUGUGAUUUAAGCCGAUUUACCUACAUAGCACUGCAAUUAUUACCAUGAAUAAAGUUCUGAAAAUGAUAUUUAUCAUUUCAUGCAUGUAUUUUUCUGUCUAGGUACUUCAAGUAAUAAAAAAAAAAGAUAAAGUAAAAGUUAAAACAUUUUCUAUGAAAUCACAUCAAAUCCCACAUGCAGCAACUGACUUUUACUUUUUCAAAAUAAAAAUCUGCCUACAAAUGUCCAAAAACUAAAGACCUGUCGCACUUGUUAAAAAGAAAACUGAAAUAUUUGCAUGAAACGGUGGAUAUGAGACCAGCGCGCUGUGGUCCACGCUGUGGCGGAGCUUAGUGCCAAACAGCGCGCACAGCUGGAUUCCCCAUUGUUCAGGUCCUCUAAUCUCCUGAUCCGACAUCAUUGUAAACACAGCCGCGGUGCAAUGUGGCGAUGUGAUCUGGGCGCACUCGAAGGAAUCUUUUAACGAAAAGAAAGCACAGGAACAGUUGUCUGUUUGGGACUGCGCGGCAGAA